Molecule: long non-coding RNA, 3112 nt
Organism: Haemorhous mexicanus (house finch)
Lineage: Eukaryota; Metazoa; Chordata; Aves; Passeriformes; Fringillidae
Exons: 2
Source: RefSeq, a predicted model, not a curated record
CCCUGUGGGAAAGAACAGGAGGUGGUUGUGUCUCCAGCAAUCACAGCUGCAGCCUACAGGACCUCAGAAGGUUCAGCUGUUUUCCUGGAUGAACCGUGGGAGACAAUAAUUGAGCUAAUAGUGGUGAUGUGUCCACGCCACAUUGCUCAGGGCUAUCCUUGGAUCAUUGCCAGCCAGGGCCCUGGCAAGGUUUUGCAUGGGCAGUCCUGCAAGUUCAGCUGAACUUCAUCCAAGGGAUGCCAUCAUGGGAUAAAACUGUUCAUAAAUAAAUUGUACUUCAAAACCCCACUGCACUGAGCUUUCUGCAAUGUAAUGAGCCCAAGUGAUCUCUAGAAUGAUCAUCAAGUCUGUUUGGGUAAAUACAAUGACCAGGACACAAUAAGAGGUGUUUUGGGAUUUAGAUCUUGUGUCAUUGGCUCAAGCCAAAUACUUGCUGCUCUUUCCUCCUUGAGACCUAGCUGCUAGACAUGGUGUCUGCUCUUCCUUUCAACAGAACAGACAGAGCAAACAGGAUGAUGUAGAACUCCCUCUCCUCUGUGCUGUGGCCAUUCUUCCCUAGCUUGGGACAGCUGGAAUAAAAAGCUCCUUGUGUUGGUUAAGAGGAGGUGACGUCCACACCAGCGAUCAGCUCUCUACAGCAACAAACCUCCUGAUGGGAAUCUCCCAGCUUAGUAGGAUAUAAAACUCAGUAAUUUACAUGUCCCUUCCCAGAAGGCUUCCUGGCAUUGUUUAUCUCCAAAAAUUACUCUUCAUAAUGCUUAGGCUCUCACUUGCUGCUGGCAAACAUGCUUGGAGGCUAGAUUUAAUAUUCUUGCUUGACAUGCUGCUUAAUUAAAAUUGUUAAGCAUAAUCAAAGCAACAGGAUCGUGUGAGAAGAAUUAUGACAAGCCAAAUCCUUCAACAUGCUCUGCCUGUUCUUUCUUCUUUUCUAUUGUGUUCUUUCCCUCCCAGGAUCUCCCUUUAUGCCCCUGAUGUCCCAGAACAGACGUCUUACCUGGCCACACUCAGGACUGUUGUCAUUGAUAUCCAGUACAAAAAUUUCCACUUCGGUGGUAGCCUGAAAUUUCCCAUCAGAGGCCAUAACUUUGAGGAGAUAUUUCUCUGUAUCUUCUCUGUCCAGAGGCUUCUUGGAGGAAAUUGUCCAUUCGCCCUCAAUUUGAUCAACUGUGAACUGUCCCAGUACGUCUCCUUCUAGAAGGGGGCAGGAAGCAAAUAAAAAAGGCAUUUAGUAAGGCCUGAAAAUCAGAAGGGAUAAGGAAAGGGAAUACAGGUCUGUCCACUGAUGGUUCCUUCCUUAGGAGACGUGAAGGACCUGGAUGCUCCUAGAGGUCUUUUCCAACCCAAAUGAUUCCAUGACUCUGCCUCAAACUGGCGAUGCAAAGAGGGCACUGGUGGCACAUCCACCAGGUGAGGAGCUUUUGGUCAACCUCACUGCACAGCUGGGAAAUACCCUGCACAUUUUAGUUAUUCCCUGUCUGCACAUUACAGUGGGAGAAGGAAACAAGUGAUUGCAGAAAAGUCAGUAAUGUUCUGCAGAUGUGCAUAUUCAUUGCCUCAAAACCACAUUGUCUCACCUUCCCAAAGCCUGUCAGUCUUUUUUGUGCAUGUUCCCAAGGGGAUCCGAGAGCUGUAAACACCCUGCAGACAUGGUUUGGAUCUUACUGUUAUGGUACCGUGUACAGUUGUAGUUCCUCUAACCUGUAGAGGUAUUUAACAUAUAGCUUUGUUUUCUGGGGCUACUUUUUGUUUCUGUAAGAGCCAAAUGAUGAGAGACAGGUAAAUCCAGACUAGGCAGGCUCUCUGGUCCACCAGAUUCAUGCUGCUCCUACUGUUGUUACACAUGCUGGAUUUUAAAUGGGCUGGAUGCUGCCACAGGAGAAUCCCUCUCUCCUGGGAAGGAGCUGGUGCUCUCUGCUGACCCAGGAGGAAGCACAACAGGCAAUGGGGGUCAGUGAAGAGAGCUGGCUGUGGAAUCUGUUUGUGAUGGACUCUGAAGGGUCUCGCACAGUGGGAUAAAUUAAAUUCACUCCCUUUCUACUUUCAUUUGUGCCGCAGUGAUGAGGUUGUGGAGGCACAAUGACAGCUGUACUAGCUUUUCUUCUGAUGCUGGGAAACACUAGCCCAUGCCCAGAUUUAGUUUCUGUGUGUUUGAAAUCAACAUGGACAGAGGGAAGCUGGGUUCUGUGUUCAGAACAGAACACAGAACCUCUCUUUUGCUGCAUUUCCAUGUUUAUUUGUAAAGUUUGAUCUGUGUUUGUAUGUGCAGAGCAGAGAGCACAAGGUGUUCACCCCUACAAUAAGUGUGCAUCCUCUCAGGUUUAAAGUACUUGGAAGUUACUACUACCUUUAAGAUGGCAGAAAUGUGAAUAUAUAAUGGAUUAAAUCUUUCCUCUCAAAGGCUUGCGAAUACCUAGGCAUGCCAUAAACCAAAUGAAAGUACCAGCAUUCCUACCCUGAUUCAGAUGGUUACAAUAAUAGAUAACAGGCUGCAGCAUGAUCUGGCCUAAUCUUUUGACCCUGAAGGGUCCUCGUUUGAGCCUGAACAAACAUUUUAAUUGGAAGGAUCUGCCCCAGAUCUUAGAAAGACCCUUUAGGGUCAAAAAAUACCAUAAAAGCAAGCUUCUACUUGUGCAAAUGCAGAACAAACAUUUCAGCGUAACUUUUUAGUUAUUUUACAGCAGUGGUUAAUUUUAGUUGGCACAUGUGAUGUUUCAGGGAUGCAAGAAUAAUUUUUAGUAUUUCUUGUUAGCCAAAACCUUUACUAAGAUUGACUUGAUAGUCUUAAAUAUUCCCCAGUGCAGAGUGACUAUCUGCAGCCUUGUUAUUCAGACAACCUCCAAGUGGUUUUGUAGGAAACACACUUAAUACCAAAAAGUUAUAUAUAGUUAUUAAAAAACAUAAACAGGCUACAGGUAUAUGUGUGAUGUGUAAACUGACUGCAGUGCUGGUAGGAGAAAAAGCUGGGUCAAAGAACUUAAAUACAGAUCACAGUAUCUGUGCGAGAAAAAUCUUCCUUCCGGCUGUACUGCCUCUCCUGUCCUUCCAAUAGGUAUUAUAAUUACACUGUCUUUAUUCCUCUCUUAAGAAAAUGUAAAUAAAUAUUUCUACAGUA